Molecule: ribosomal RNA, 508 nt
Filed under: uncultured bacterium
Lineage: Bacteria
Description: bacterial SSU rRNA
Rfam family: Bacterial small subunit ribosomal RNA
Source: RNAcentral
CUACGUGCCAGCAGCCGCGGUAAUACGGAAGGUCCAGGCGUUAUCCGGAUUUAUUGGGUUUAAAGGGAGCGUAGGCCGUGGAUUAAGCGUGUUGUGAAAUGUAGACGCUCAACGUCUGAAUUGCAGCGCGAACUGGUUCACUUGAGUAUGCACAACGUAGGCGGAAUUCGUCGUGUAGCGGUGAAAUGCUUAGAUAUGACGAAGAACUCCGAUUGCGAAGGCAGCUUACGGGAGCACAACUGACGCUGAAGCUCGAAGGUGCGGGUAUCAAACAGGAUUAGAUACCCUGGUAGUCCGCACAGUAAACGAUGGAUGCCCGUUGUUAGUUCACCUAAGAAUUAGCGACCAAGCGAAAGCAUUAAGCAUCCCACCUGGGGAGUACGCCGGCAACGGUGGAACUCAAAGGAAUUGACGGGGGCCCGCACAAGCGGAGGAACAUGUGGUUUAAUUCGAUGAUACGCGAGGAACCUUACCCGGGCUUGAAUUGCAGAGGAAUUAUUUAGAGAUA